UUCAGGUCCUUCUUCUUCAAACGACUGAUCUCCGUAUAGCUUUCCUGUUCCCCUAUCGCUCGUCGACGGUGGCGGCUGCACAGAUCUGGUGGACGACGACUACUCCCUGGGCAGUUGCUCCCUGCCUCCUCCCACUCCCACUCCGGCUUCCAGGUCUCUUGGCUCCAUCUACCGCGCAUCCCGACACGCGCUGCACAUCCUCGUCAGGGACCGGGCCGCCGCCGCCACGGUCUCCUCCACCCCGAUGACCUCGGGCUCCCCACCCGCUCAGCUGCCCAUUUGUACCUUUCCGGAGCCAAGCUGGUAGUGGUCGAGUGGGCGGUGGUGCCUCCACGGUCGCCUCCUCCCCGGUACUCCUAGAUCCAGCAGUAUCUCACCGUAGGCAAGCUGGUGGUGCUCGAUCUGCUCGCCUUCUUUGCCUCGCAGGCUCAGCAUCAAGGUCAGCACCGUUUCUCCAACUCCCCUCCCCCUCUCCCUCCUACAGAUUUCUCUCCAAUGGCUUCUCACCUCUCAUGUGCUGCUUAGUACCGUAUUUACCAGUGAACAACUUGUAUGGCUUUGACUGGUUUCAUUAUUAUUUAAACAAAGCAUGUUGUUUGUUGUUGUAUGAUAUCCACAAACACAUUGGUCUGAAGAUCGCACAUUGUCAACAAGUGUCAUCAUAGCUCAUAUUUGUACUGUGAUAUGUUCAAGAAGUAGCAUAUCCAUCUCUUUCACAUGACUGGCAACCACAACCCCUUUUACAAGACUCAAAAUCACAUCAAGCUUAAUUAGAAUUCAUCUUUUUUUUCGAGAAAACGCAUGAGAGCGUGCGUUUCAUUGCAUUGUAAAGAGGGAGAGUUUGGUUACAUUCCUCCUAGGAGGCUGAUUACAGAGACCGGACUAGUGGACAUCCCAAGUCUGGGGGGUAAUGGCUUUGAGCCCUAGCGCGCCCGCAUUUGCCCAAAGGGCAGCUUCUUCCUUGAUCUUCGCUACGAUGGUUAAUCAGAAUUCAUCUCUCAUUCACAUUUUCUAUCUCUGGUUGAAACAACGGAUCUGUACAACUCUCUCUUGUGUGCUUUAGGGAUUGAUUGGAACGGGAGUUUUUCUGCCCAGUACACUGGUAAGGUAUACAUCCGUAAAAUAAAAUAGGCGGCCUUUAAUUAUGUGAUUGGUUAGUCGUUUCAGGUCGUAUUUUUCUACACCGGUUUUGCUAAAUACACCUAUAUUCCCCGGUUUUGAAAACACUGCUCUGGCCGUCGUUUCUCGCCUGGCAUUCAUCUCUCUCUAUCGAUCGACAGUACGAGCGGACGCAUCGCCGGACGAAGCCACGGGCAACGGGACGAGGCAUCGGCGACACUGACUGCGGGAUUGACACUGUCUCCGCAGGUCCCUGAUGUGGGUGCACCGCACUGCUUGGCGGUGCAUGGCCGGAGCUCCCGCCGACCAUCAGGUUGAGGCGGCGAGGAGCAGUGGCAUGUAGACUGAAUCAGGCGGAGAGCGCAGGCACUCGAAGACGCGGCUCCUGAAUGAUGGCUUGACCACGGCGGUCGACAAUCUGAAAAUAUCACUGGUAAAAUACUGGUUUCUUCUAUAGGAUAAUAAAAUACACCGGUAAACUAUUUACAGGCGUAUACAAGGCCUCCAAUCGGGGUCUUAAGGAGGUAAAGAAUUCUACUUGCUGUUGAACCCUCGCUGAUUCUCCACAGAAAAACUUGUAAGGAUCUGAACUUGUUGAGUGAAAUUAUGGUUGAAGCAAGAUUUUUUUUAGAAUCUCUAGUCUCUAAAUACAAGAGCAGAAAAUGGUUCUCUUCCAUGUAUUUGACUCAUGUUUUUUGCUUUGGAUCUGUGUGCGGACUUGCCUUUGUGCCGUCGUAAUAUAUUUAUUUGUUUGUUGCUGUUAGAGUUUCAAUUUUCUUUUUUUAGAACCAAAAUUCGUGGGCAGCAAUAAGAAAGUGCUGGCAUUGCAAUGUCAUAUCGGUGCUCCAGAGAAGUGUUCCUUUUAAGUUUUAACCAUGCAUUUUUAAAAGUAAUACUUGGUGACCAAUGUAAUCAAUCAGAAUAACAACUUCAGUGUAAUGAAGGAUAAAGCAUUUUUACUUUCAGCUCCUCCCCGUGCUUGUGAUGGAUUGGUCCAUUAUCUGUUAAUCUCUGCAUAACAAAAUGAAGGACUGGAUGCUAAGCUUAACAUUACCAUCUCUCUAGUUAGACAAUCACAGUGGUAAAAAUAAUUUGGGGAAUAACAAUAUUUUUUGUGCUAGCAGCGAGCAGAUAUGUUCCUACUAGUACAAUGUAUUCUUGAUGCAUAUUCAUUUGAUUAGCUCAUGAGCAAAUACUUUAGGUGCCCUUGCACGUCUUGUACUCAAACUGAAUGAUUUGUUUGGUGUCAUCUUUUCCAGAACAUGAAGACUGAAUAGCAAGAAGCACUAUAACUAGAGGCAAAAAGGGAAUAUUUUCAAGAUAACAAACCCGAUGCAAGUUUUGGUAGCAAUGUUUAUUCAGUGGGCAUCAUUUCAGUCCUUCAUUCUCGGGCUCGCUGUUCAUGUACUACAAAAUGACCAUGUCAUGUUUUAUACCACUUGAUGUGUGUGUGUGUGUGUGUGUGUGUGUGUGUGUGUCUUGUCUACCCGAAUUAAGAUACAAGACAUGCACUCAAAUAUUUCUGCCCAGGAUAAUCCACUUAGACAUGUAUUCAGAAAUUUGUGCUUGACAUGUACUCUCAUAUUUGUGUUUGGGGUGGUCCAGCAUGGGAUGAACUAGGAACAGAUUGGCUUAACCAUAUUAAGUUUUCUUGCAUAAUCGGUGAUCUAGUACAAGCAACUAUUGUACAAUUUGGGCAUCGACGAUGUGAACAUUUGAAAUUGGGAUAAAAUGAUUGGAUAAGAGAAAGUUGGGGUUCUU
RNAcentral lists this long non-coding RNA (2880 nucleotides) under Triticum aestivum (bread wheat). RNAcentral describes it as "long non-coding RNA (TAES_LNC013571)". The record is from RNAcentral. Lineage: Eukaryota; Viridiplantae; Streptophyta; Magnoliopsida; Poales; Poaceae.